Molecule: long non-coding RNA, 578 nt
Filed under: Hordeum vulgare
Lineage: Eukaryota; Viridiplantae; Streptophyta; Magnoliopsida; Poales; Poaceae
Description: long non-coding RNA (HVUL_LNC009632)
Source: RNAcentral
AUCAUAGGCGGUUCCCAAACUGAAAAUAAAGUUUAUUCCUUUUUCCACCAUUCUUUCACACUCCACGGCUAGCUGCAUCCACGGGUACCGCCCAUACCAACACUUUCCAAGGAACUUAUUAUUUGACAACAUAAAAUAUAUUUUUUGCAUUUCAGGACUGCACAUCCCUAUUACCGCCAUACUCUCGUGCAAUGACAAGUGAAUAAACACUCAUCUUGAGAAUAACCUAUUUAACAUGGAAGAUAUCGGCCAUCCUAGGGGAGUCCUGGAUUAAGGGGUGCUCGGAUGGUCGGCCCACCUCUUAGAGGUCGACCAUAUUGUCCAUAUUAUUGGAGACAGGACUGCAUAACGACUUUGUUUUCAGGAAGGAAAGUUCCAAAGACUGGCAUAUCAUCCAAGUUUGGUAGGCUAGAUCGGCACAUCUAUCCUCGGCUGGAGGUCGGUUGUAUGUAACCCUAGGAAGCCCUCGUGUCUAUAUAAACCAGAGGGCUUCGUCCGCAUAGCCAAGUUGAUUCAUCUAGGGUUUAACUCAUAUGAUCUCAAGGUAGACCAACUGUGUAAUCGUCAUACACCAUCAA